UACUUAUGUGGACUUUGUAUGUCAAUGUAUUUUUUAGCAAUUUAUUUUGCUUGGGAUUUUGUUUUACUUUUUUCUUGCUUCAGCCAUCUUUUGCUAAUGGGACCAACAAUUUUUGAAGUGUUUGGGAUCUUGUAUCUCCUUUGAAUUCUUUACAAGACAUGGUUUCUUUAUAGUUUUGGGCUUCUGCAGCCAUAUUUUAAGUUGACAGGAGCCUUUCAUGUCCCUGUUUGAAUUGCUUGAUACACCAUUCUGGCUGUUUUUUUAAUGCAGUUGGCCUCUGAAAUGUCUCUGUGUUUAUCUAGUCACUUUGAUGAGUUAGCUUUGCUCUUACUUUCUUGAUUGAUUUAGUGAAUGGAUGAUAGAACCUUUAUCACAUCUGAAUUACUUUUUACUUAUGCUAGCUUUUUGUAUGAGGCUAAAAUGGUAAAUUAAAGCUCAGGUAUUUGGUGUUUCUGAAGAAUUUGGUGCUCACAUUUACUUCUUGCUGUGGACACAUGUUGGGUGCAAUUUCUUUUCUUUGCUUUUCUUUUAAUUAAGUGUUCAAAGCUUUGUUUGAUGAUUGGAAAAUUUUGACAGGCAUGAGAACAAAAAAAAUUCAAAACCACCACUGCUAAAAAACAGGAACAACUAGGACCUGCCUUCCAUCAUGCAGAAAUGGUAUCUCUGAGAUGUGAUAUUGCCAUGGAAGGUCUAGCAAGAAAAAACAUUUCAGGACCACAUGCUAGGUAGACAGGCAAAUGAGAAACUAGACUGAUGCCUACCGCAGUGCUAGUUCUACCGGGAAAAGGACUUGUGGUUGUGGUCAAGCUACAAGGUGCUUCUUGUCAAAGCCAUACAGUGAGGAUGGAGAACAUGAAGAUUACGCAUUUGUGACUUCCAGGUUUUAAAUUCCCUCCUAGUGAAUGAAAUACUUGCAGGACUAGUCUGUAUCAUCCAUCAGUAUCCCACCAUGCUGCCAUGGUCAUCUUCCAGAAGUCAUGAAAGUAGGUGGCUGAGAAGGAAGGUUUUGUCUCUCUCCAAUAUUUCGCUUCUGGACUUGAUGGAAGGUGCAUAAAUAUUUGUAAUCAUCGGUUUCAGGGGUGGAGUAGAGAAGUCCUCCAUCUUUUGAUCUCCAGGGAAGGAGCUGUCCUCUUUUUGCCUGCUCCACUUCCGAAGUCACUUUGCCUGCAAAGUAAUCAGGUAGAUGCUAAUUCUAAUAAUCCACGGCAGGCUGUUCUGUCAUAGCAUUCAUUCAUGUGCGUUUGUGGGCUUCCUCUGUCAUCAAUGACUUUUGUCUCAGACGAACACAGUACCUGUGGAUGCAUGUUGAUCCCAAUGAUGACAAGGUGACAAAUUAAAUGGUUAUAUAUUCUAAAUUUUGCUAGAAAUUCACAUUGGAAACUUGCAAAUUGCCUCACAUAAAUCUUUAAUUUUCUCUUUUACACUUUGAGAUGUGCUCUGUUAAAAAUGUCCCUUCAUAGCAUGAAAAUUCAUCUGGUUAAAAAUGCAGAAUGAGACAAACUCAGCAAAUUCAAGAAUUAUUAGAUUAAAUUGGGCUUUGGAUUUGGUUGAAGCUUACUCCAUUUUGAGAAUAUUCUUAG
Musa acuminata subsp. malaccensis (wild Malaysian banana) is the source of this 1580-nucleotide non-coding RNA. NCBI's taxonomy places the organism in Eukaryota, Viridiplantae, Streptophyta, Magnoliopsida, Zingiberales, Musaceae. The record is from RefSeq and is a predicted model, not a curated record.